Molecule: long non-coding RNA, 768 nt
Organism: Capsicum annuum
Lineage: Eukaryota; Viridiplantae; Streptophyta; Magnoliopsida; Solanales; Solanaceae
Exons: 3
Source: RefSeq, a predicted model, not a curated record
UAAAAGAAGUCAUAAAUGGUCUAUUUGUCAUUCAUGAAAUAAAUCCAUAAUUUCUUUCAAAUUUGUUCUGGCCCUUAACAAAUAUAUCGAAAAUACCUUUUAAAAUUGACUCAUAGUGCAACUUAAUAGAGAUUCAAUGAAAUAAAGGCAACAAAAUUUCACUACUUCCAUAACUUCUCAAGAAAACGUGGAUCUCAAUUUCUUACCAUGGAGAGUGCACCUAUUGGUAAACUUCGAGUGAGGUAUCCAAACCAAGAGAUCCAACUCUUCCAAAUCGGGGUGAUGCUUGUUGUUCUUCAGUUGCUAGGGGUUCAUUGCCACGAUCAAUUUAUUUCUCAAUCUUUAAAACCUAUUGAGUUUUUGCAGGGAAUAUUGAUCAACUGAUUAUAGGAAUAAAGUCUGUAAGGGGCACUGAAUUUGAUUCAUCGGUACUUCAGGUUGACCACUCUUGGUUUCAUCUUCACACUAAGACACACUCAAGCCUUGUCAUAAUUACCAUUGUAAUGUCAGUGUGCCAUCAUUGAACCUUGCGGACAGGGUUUUAUUUUAGGGUUGAAGUAUUGUUGUGAACCAUGGUGACUCCGCAAGAGCUUAUGGGUUGUUGUUAAUGAGAUUAAUUAUGGUGUAAUUAUUAGGCCGAGUAAGAUAGUGAAGAGUUUUAUUUGAGAUCCAGAACUAAUUAGCAACCGAUUUAAUAUGAUAAGGGAUAUUGUUUGUUCCUCUCAUCUUCUUUCUAGGGUCUAAACUCAUCAUCCCUAUUCUUAUCUC